Molecule: ribosomal RNA, 933 nt
Filed under: Prevotella sp.
Lineage: Bacteria; Pseudomonadati; Bacteroidota; Bacteroidia; Bacteroidales; Prevotellaceae
Description: bacterial SSU rRNA
Rfam family: Bacterial small subunit ribosomal RNA
Source: RNAcentral
ACAAUGAAGAGUUUGAUCCUGGCUCAGGAUGAACGCUAGCUACAGGCUUAACACAUGCAAGUCGAGGGGCAGCAUGUUGGUUGCUUGCAACCAAUGAUGGCGACCGGCGCACGGGUGCGUAACGCGUAUCGAACCUGCCCUAUACUCAGGGAUAGCCUUGCGAAAGUAAGAUUAAUACCUGAUGUUGUUAUUUGUUCGCAUGAUUAUUUAACAAAAGAUUUAUUGGUAUAGGAUGGCGAUGCGUGGCAUUAGGUAGUAGGCGGGGUAACGGCCCACCUAGCCGACGAUGCCUAGGGGUUCUGAGAGGAAGGUCCCCCACACUGUAACUGAGACUCGGUCCAGAAUCCUACGGGAGGCAGCAGUGAGGAAUAUUGGUCAAUGGUCGAGAGACUGAACCAGCCAAGUAGCGUGCAGGAUGACGGCCCUCUGGGUUGUAAACUGCUUUUAGUUGGGAAUAAAAAGAGGGACGUGUCCCUUAUUGUAUGUACCAUCAGAAAAAGGACCGGCUAAUUCCGUGCCAGCAGCCGCGGUAAUACGGAAGGUCCGGGCGUUAUCCGGAUUUAUUGGGUUUAAAGGGAGCGUAGGCGGGAUAAUAAGUCAGUUGUGAAAGUUUGAGGCUCAACCUUAAAAUUGCAGUUGAAACUGUUAUUCUUGAGUGCACGCAGGGGUGCUGGAAUUCAUGGUGUAGCGGUGAAAUGCUUAGAUAUCAUGAAGAACUCCGUUGGCGAAGGCAUGUGCCCGGAGUGCUACUGACGCUGAGGCUCGAAAGUGCGGGUAUCAAACAGGAUUAGAUACCCUGGUAGUCCGCACAGUAAACGAUGGAUACCCGCGGUCCGCGAUAUAAUGUGGGUCGCCAAGCGAAAGCGUUAAGUAUCCCACCUGGGGAGUACGCCGGCAACGGUGAAACUCAAAGGAAUUGACGGAGAUCGGAAG